RNAcentral lists this ribosomal RNA (535 nucleotides) under uncultured archaeon. RNAcentral's name for it is "bacterial SSU rRNA". It matches the Rfam family "Archaeal small subunit ribosomal RNA", at positions 325 to 859 of the family's 1478-position model. The record is from RNAcentral.
ACGGGGUGCAGCAGGCGAGAAAACUUUGCAAUGUGCGAAAGCACGACAAGGUUAAUCCGAGUGGUUUCUGCUAAAGGAACCUUUUGUCGGUCCUAGAAACACCGAUGAAUAAGGGGUGGGCAAGUUCUGGUGUCAGCCGCCGCGGUAAAACCAGCACCUCAAGUGGUCAGGAUGAUUAUUGGGCCUAAAGCAUCCGUAGCCGGCUCUGUAAGUUUUCGGUUAAAUCUGUACGCUUAACGUACAGGCUGCCGGGAAUACUGCAGAGCUAGGUAGUGGGAGAGGUAGACGGUACUCGGUAGGAAGGGGUUAAAAUCCUUUGAUCUAUUGAUGACCACCUGUGGCGAAAGGCGGUCUACCAGAACACGUACGACGGUGAGGGAUGAAAGCUGGGGGAGCAAACCGGAUUAGAUACCCGGGUAGUCCCAGCUGUAAACUAUGCAAACUCAGUGAUGCAUUGGCUUGUGGCCAAUGCAGUGCUGCAGGGAAGCCGUUAAGUUUGCCGCCUGGGAAGUACGUACGCAAGUAUGAAACUUAA